AGGGUGUAUUCACUUCCUGUUUCUGCUGUAGCAAAAUAUCACACGUUUGAUAUUCUCUUACAGAUCUGGAGGUGCUAAAGUUCAGCAGUCUGAAAUGUAUUGGCAGGCAGGUUCUUUCUGCAGGCUCUGGGGAAGAACCUAUUUCCCUGCCUUCUUCACCUCCUAGAGGCCACCUGCAUUCCCAUGUGGCAGUGGGGAAUGAAAACAGGAAAGUGGCAGCUCUGACCGAAAGCAAUGUGAUUGAUAAAGAGGGUGGGCAGUGGGGGGACAUUUCCUCAAAAGAAAGGAUUGCUAUUCACCGAAGAGGGAGUGAAGUCCUGGGAAGGCAAGAUAACAGGUGUGCACUCAGCUGUGAUAGAGAGGCCGACCAGGCACGCUGUUUGCAGCAAAAUGGGCGUUAUGCUUUGCCCCUGGAGGCGUGGAAGUGGGGCAAGAGGGUAGAGAAAAAGUUGUUCCAGCCACUACGGAUGUGUAACAAGUUACUGCAAAUCUUGUUGACUUAAAAUAGCCACUUGGUUUGCUCAUGAUUUUGUGGGCCAGGAAUUUAGACAGGACUGAGCCUGGCAGGUCUCACUCAGUGUUUCCCUAGCAGCUGCUCAGAUGUCAUCUGAAGGCCCCACAGGGCUGGACGUCCAAGAUGGCUCACUCACAUGGCUGGCAUGGGUUGUGUCCAGGUAGCUCAGCUGGGGCUGCCAACCCAGGGCUCUGCAUGGCUUCUCCAGCAUGGCGGGGUCUCAGAGUAGCUGGACUUCUUAUGUGGUAGCUGGCUUCCCCCUCCCACUGAGUGGGAAUCUUAAGAGGACGAACUGGAAACUUCAUAAUUUUUUUUUUCUUUGAGAUGGAGUCUCACUCUGUUGCCCAGGCUGGAGUGCAGUGGCCUGAUCUCGGCUCACUGAAACCUCCACCCCUGGGUUCAAGCGAUUCCCCUGCCUCAGCCUCCCGAGUAGCUGGGAUUACAGGUGCCCGCCACAGCGCCCGGCUAAUUUUUGUAUUUUUAGUAGAGACAGUGUUUCACCAUCUUGGCUGUUACACGCCUCCGUAUAAGAGACCACCUGAGCAGGCUUAGUGGAGCAACAAGGCUGUUUAUUCACUUGGGUGCAAGUGGGCUGAGUCAGAGAAAGGAGUCAGCGAAGGGUGGUGGGAGUGGAACUGGUUCUAUAGGUUUGGGGUAGGUAGUGGAAAGUUACAGUUAGGGGCAGUUUUUUUGGGCAGGGGAAGAAUGUUACAAGGUGCAUAGUCACAAGGUGGGGGAAGUCAUAAGGCACGAUAUCACAAGGUGGAUGGAUUAGUUGGGGAAGGGCAGGAACAUAUCACAAGGUGGAUGGAUUAAUUAGGGUAGGGAAGGAACAUAUCACAAGGUGGAUGGAUUAGUUAGGGUAGGGCAGGAACAUGUCACAGUGGUGGAUGGAUUAGUUAGGGUAGGGCAGGAACAUGUCACAAGGUGGAUGGAUUAGUUGGGGAAGGGCAGGAACAAUCACAAGGUGGAUGGAUUAGUUGGGGAAGGGCAGGAACAUAUCACAAGGUGGAUGGAUUAGUUAGGGUAGGGAAGGAACAUAUCACAAGGUGGAUGGAUUAGUUGGGGAAGGGCAGGAACAUAUCACAGUGGUGGAUGGAUUAGUUGGGGAAGGGCAGGAACAUAUCACAAGGUGGAUGGAUUAGUUGGGGAAGGGCAGGAACAUAUCACAGUGGUGGAUGGAUUAGUUGGGGGAAGGGCAGGAACAUAUCACAAGGUGGAUGGAUUAGUUAGGGUAGGGCAGGAACAUAUCACAGUGGUGGAUGGAUUAGUUGGGGAAGGGCAGGAACAAUCACAAGGUGGAUGGAUUAGUUGGGGAAGGGCAGGAACAUAUCACAAGGUGGAUGGAUUAGUUGGGGAAGGGCAGGAACAUGUCACAAUGGUGGAUGGAUUAGUUGGGGAAGGGCAGGAACAUGUCACAAUGGUGGAUGGAUUAGUUGGGGAAGGGCAGGAACAUAUCACAAGGUGGAUGGAUUAGUUGGGGAAGGGCAGGAACAUAUCACAAGGUGGAUGGAUUAGUUGGGGAAGGGCAGGAACAUAUCACAAGGUGGACUGUUGCAAGGUCGGUUAAUCAUUAAGGCAGGAACUAGCUGUUCCGUCUUCUUUAGUGGUUCUCCUGUUGCUCCAGGCUUUGUGACUCCAGGAGGCCUGUAACGUGUGGGUCACAGGGGUCACAAUGGCUCGACCAUGGGGUAGCCCAUUCAGGGGACCUUCCACUGGCCAGGUUGGUCUUGAACUCGUGACCUCAUGAUCCACCCGCCUCGGCCUCCCAAAGUGCUGGAAUUACAGGCGUGAGCCACCGCGUCCCGCCCAAAGCUGCAUAAUUUUUUAUCCUCAAAAGUUAAGCAGCUUUCCUUCCCCUACAGUCAGUGUUAUAAGUGAGUCACUAACGUCAGCCCACUUUUGAGUAGAGGGGACAUAGAUUCCCACAGCUCAAUGGGAGGAGUGUCAAAAAAAUGUAUGAGCAUAUUUUAAAACCAUUGCAAAGUAUGUCAUGGGGAGAGUGUCCAGAGGAGAGAUGACUGAGUUGGGUUAAAUUGCCAGGCCAGGCACAGUGGCUCAUGUCUGUAAUCCCAGCAUUUCGGGAGGCCGAGGCGGUAAAAUCUCUUGAGGCCAGGAGUUUGAGACCAGCUUGGGAAACAUAGCGAGACCCCCAUCUCUACAAAAAAUUUAAAAAUUAGCCAGGUGUGGUGGUGCAUGCCUAUGGUCCCAGCUACUUGGGAGGCUUAGGUGAGAGGAUCGCUUGAGCCCAGGAGUUCGAGGCUGCGUUGGGCCACGACUGCACCACUGCACUCCAGCCUGAGUGACAGGGUGAGACCGUCUCAAAAAUAAAUGAAUAAAUAAAUAAAUUGCCAGGCCACAGAAAAUGCUUAAGUAUUACAACUGGUAAAUCAUAAGAGUUAUGGUUGAUGUGGCUCCCAGUCAGUUGAGUGGUAAUGGGGCUGGUGGACUCAUGUUUGGGAACGAAGAAGAGAGAAGGUUCAAGAGUGAGAACUGAAAUCACUGCUGUCUCUCCAUCCCUGUCCCAGGGGAAAAUCCAUUGCCCAGCCAUUACCAGCUCCUUGAGACUGCCUGCAUUUCUUGGCUCGAGACCCCUUCUUCGGAUCUCCCCAGUCUCUUGCCUCUGCCAGCACAUCCCCUGCCACUGACCCUGACUCUCCUGUAUCCCUCUCAGAAGGAUCUUGUGAUUACAUGGGGUCCAUGUCGAUAAUCCUGCAUGACUUCCCCACUUCAAAAUCCUUAGUCAUAUCUGCAAAAUCCCUUUCACCAUCUAAAAUAACAUACUCAUGGGUUCUGGGGUUUAGGGGCCCAAUGCUCCUAGUACCUUUCAUGGGAAUCUUUACCUCCAGAAAUGGGGAGAAGUGGGCAGGGACUCCCUUCAUACACAAGACACGGCUGCCUCCUGCCACAACCCCAAAUACUUAUACACUUGCCUUUUUACAUCUGAGCUGGAACGACCCCACCUCAAUGUCAUGGGGCCAGGGUGGGAGACAGAGGAGCUACAACAUCUGCUUGGCUAUUGUUAGGGACAAACAAAGCAGCCACGGUUGCUUAGUGAUGACUUCUGGUUCCACCUGAGUGCUUUGGCCACCCAUAUUGCUCUCAGAGCUCUUUAAAGAUGAGUUAUUGUGCCCGGAGUGGUGGCUGAUGCCUGUAAUCCCAGGACUUUGGGAGGCUGAAGUGGACAGAUCACCUGAUGUUAGGAGUUCAAGACCAGCCACCUAACCAACAUGGAGAAACCCCAUCUCUACUAAAAGUACGAAAUUAGCAGGGCAUGGUGGCGCAUGCCUGUAAUCCCAGCUACUCUGGAG
Molecule: long non-coding RNA, 3825 nt
Filed under: Homo sapiens (human)
Lineage: Eukaryota; Metazoa; Chordata; Mammalia; Primates; Hominidae
Description: HSALNT0236396
Source: RNAcentral